GUUCAAUCCCAGUUCAUCCCAGUUCAUCCCAGUUCAUCCCAGUUCAAUCCCAUUCAAUCCCAGUUCAUCCCAGUUCAAUCCCAGUUCAAUCCCAGUUCAUCCCAUUCAAUCCCAGUUCAUCCCAGUUCAAUCCCAGUUCAUCCCAGUCCAUCCCAGUUCAUCCCAGUUCAAUCCCAGUUCAAUCCCAGUCCAUCCCAGUUCAUCCCAGUUCAAUCCCAGUCCAUCCCAGUUCAUCCCAGUUCAAUCCCAGUUCAAUCCCAGUUCAUCCCAGUCCCUCCCAGUCCCUCCC
Poecile atricapillus (Black-capped chickadee) is the source of this 289-nucleotide long non-coding RNA. RefSeq lists it as uncharacterized. The record is from RefSeq and is a predicted model, not a curated record. Lineage: Eukaryota; Metazoa; Chordata; Aves; Passeriformes; Paridae. The transcript has 3 exons.